Molecule: transfer RNA, 31 nt
Filed under: Callisaurus draconoides rhodostictus
Lineage: Eukaryota; Metazoa; Chordata; Lepidosauria; Squamata; Phrynosomatidae
Description: partial tRNA-Thr
Source: RNAcentral
AUCUCUGUAGCUUAGAUAUUUUAAAGCAUUG